AUUGAACGCUGGCGGCAGGCCUAACACAUGCAAGUCGAGCGGAGCGGCGGACGGGAGCGUAAUGCCUAGGAAUCUUCCUGGUAGUGGGGGAUAACGUCCGGAAACGGGCGCUAAUACCGCAUACUAUCAGAUGAGCCUAGGUCGGAUUAGCUAGUUGGUGGGGUAAAGGCCUACCAAGGCGACGAUCCGUAACUUGUCUGACAGGAUGAGCAGUCACACGUGAACUGAGACACGGACCAGACUCCUACGGGAUGCAGCAGUGGAGGAUAUUGGACAAUGGGGGAAAGCCUGAUCCAACCAUGCCGCGUGUGUGAAGAAGGUCUUCGGAUUGGAAAGCACUUUAAGUUGGGAGGCGUUACCAACAGAAUAAGCACCGGCUAACUGCGUGCCAGCAGCCGCGGUAAUAC
This 407-nucleotide ribosomal RNA is filed under the name uncultured bacterium. RNAcentral's name for it is "partial 16S ribosomal RNA". It matches the Rfam family "Bacterial small subunit ribosomal RNA", at positions 30 to 526 of the family's 1533-position model. The record is from RNAcentral.